Molecule: ribosomal RNA, 250 nt
Filed under: uncultured bacterium
Lineage: Bacteria
Description: partial 16S ribosomal RNA
Rfam family: Bacterial small subunit ribosomal RNA
Source: RNAcentral
ACAGAGGGGGCGAGCGUUAAUCGGAAUUACUGGGCGUAAAGCGCGCGUAGGCGGCUGGAUAAGUCGAUUGUGAAAGCCCCGGGCUCAACCUGGGAAUUGCAGUCGAGACUGUUCGGCUAGAGUGUGGGAGAGGGCAGUGGAAUUCCCGGUGUAGCGGUGAAAUGCGUAGAUAUCGGGAGGAACAUCAGUGGCGAAGGCGACUGCCUGGCCCAACACUGACGCUGAGGUGCGAAAGCGUGGGUAGCAAACA